AAUUUAAGCAUAUAAUUAAGCGGAGGAAAAGAAACUAACUAGGAUUCCCUCAGUAACGGCGAGUGAAGCGGGACUAGCUCAGGAUGUGAAUCUGCGCUUUUAUGGCGCCGAAUUGUGGUCUGUAGACCUUGACGUUAUUUGCCGGGCCAAGUUCCUUGGAAAAGGACAGCUGAGAGGGUGAGACUCCCGUCCGCCUGGUAGAGUGAGUCAUGUGUCAACGAGUCGAGUUGUUUGGGAUUGCAGCUCUAAUUUGGUGGUAAAUUCCAUCUAAAGCUAAAUAUUGGUGGGAGACCGAUAGCGUACAAGUACCGUGAGGGAAAGAUGCAAAGAACUUUGAAAAGAGAGUUAAAGAGUACCUGAAAUUGCUGAAACGGAAGCGAAGGAAACCAGUGUUUGUUGGUUCAUAUUUCCCUAGCCACUUGUGGUUUGGGCGCUGUGAGCUUGCGUGAGUUUGGGUUGGUUGAUCCCUUUGGAAGAGCGCAGACAGAGUUGAUGUUUGUUGCUAGCACUGGGUUUGACUGAUGCAGACGAAAUGGUUUUCUUUACCCCGUCUUGAAACACGGACCAAGGAGUCUAACAUAUGUGCGAGUACAGGGGUGUCAAACCUCCGUGCGUAAUGAAAGUGACAGUGGUUGGAUUAAUUUGCACAAUCCGCCGGCCUCAAUCCUUCGGGAGAACGGUCUGAGUGUGAGCAUACAUGUUGGGACCCGAAAGAUGGUGAACUAUGCCUGAAUAGGGUGAAGCCAGGGGAAACUCUGGUGGAGGCUCGUAGCGAUUCUGACGUGCAAAUCGAUCGUCAAAUUUGGGUAUAGGGGCGAAAGACUAAUC
This 828-nucleotide ribosomal RNA is filed under the name Neodenticula seminae. Its description in RNAcentral is "LSU rRNA". It matches the Rfam family "Eukaryotic large subunit ribosomal RNA", at positions 31 to 936 of the family's 3401-position model. Lineage: Eukaryota; Bacillariophyta; Bacillariophyceae; Bacillariales; Bacillariaceae. The record is from RNAcentral.